ACGCUGGCGGCGUGCUUAACACAUGCAAGUCGAACGGAAAGGCCCUGCUUUUGUGGGGUGCUCGAGUGGCGAACGGGUGAGUAACACGUGAGUAACCUGCCCUUGACUUUGGGAUAACUUCAGGAAACUGGGGCUAAUACCGGAUAGGAGCUCCUGCUGCAUGGUGGGGGUUGGAAAGUUUCGGCGGUUGGGGAUGGACUCGCGGCUUAUCAGCUUGUUGGUGGGGUAGUGGCUUACCAAGGCUUUGACGGGUAGCCGGCCUGAGAGGGUGACCGGCCACAUUGGGACUGAGAUACGGCCCAGACUCCUACGGGAGGCAGCAGUGGGGAAUAUUGCACAAUGGGCGGAAGCCUGAUGCGGCAACGCCGCGUGCGGGAUGACGGCCUUCGGGUUGUAAACCGCUUUCGCCUGUGACGAAGCGUGAGUGACGGUAAUGGGUAAAGAAGCACCGGCUAACUACGUGCCAGCAGCCGCGGUGAUACGUAGGGUGCGAGCGUUGUCCGGAUUUAUUGGGCGUAAAGGGCUCGUAGGUGGUUGAUCGCGUCGGAAGUGUAAUCUUGGGGCUUAACCCUGAGCGUGCUUUCGAUACGGGUUGACUUGAGGAAGGUAGGGGAGAAUGGAAUUCCUGGUGGAGCGGUGGAAUGCGCAGAUAUCAGGAGGAACACCAGUGGCGAAGGCGGUUCUCUGGGCCUUUCCUGACGCUGAGGAGCGAAAGCGUGGGGAGCGAACAGGCUUAGAUACCCUGGUAGUCCACGCUGUAAACGGUGGGUACUAGGUGUGGGGUCCAUUCCACGGGUUCCGUGCCGUAGCUAACGCUUUAAGUACCCCGCCUGGGGAGUACGGCCGCAAGGCUAAAACUCAAAGGAAUUGACGGGGCCCCGCACAAGCGGCGGAGCAUGCGGAUUAAUUCGAUGCAACGCGUAGAACCUUACCUGGGUUUGACAUGGAUCGGGAGUGCUCAGAGAUGGGUGUGCCUCUUUUGGGGUCGGUUCACAGGUGGUGCAUGGCUGUCGUCAGCUCGUGUCGUGAGAUGUUGGGUUAAGUCCCGCAACGAGCGCAACCCUUGUUCACUGUUGCCAGCACGUUAUGGUGGGGACUCAGUGGAGACCGCCGGGGUCAACUCGGAGGAAGGUGGGGAUGACGUCAAGUCAUCAUGCCCCUUAUGUCCAGGGCUUCACGCAUGCUACAAUGGCUGGUACAGAGAGUGGCGAGCCUGUGAGGGUGAGCGAAUCUCGGAAAGCCGGUCUCAGUUCGGAUUGGGGUCUGCAACUCGACCUCAUGAAGUCGGAGUCGCUAGUAAUCGCAGAUCAGCAACGCUGCGGUGAAUACGUUCCCGGGGCUUGUACACACCGCCCGUCAAGUCAUGAAAGUUGGUAACACCCGAAGCCGGAGGCCUAACCGUUGUGGGGGAGCCGUCGAAGGUGGGACUGGU
Molecule: ribosomal RNA, 1432 nt
Filed under: uncultured organism
Description: 16S ribosomal RNA
Rfam family: Bacterial small subunit ribosomal RNA
Source: RNAcentral